RNAcentral lists this ribosomal RNA (435 nucleotides) under uncultured bacterium. Its description in RNAcentral is "partial 16S ribosomal RNA". It matches the Rfam family "Bacterial small subunit ribosomal RNA", at positions 29 to 507 of the family's 1533-position model. The record is from RNAcentral.
AGCGAACGCUGGCGGCAGGCUUAACACAUGCAAGUCGAACGGGCAUCUUCGGAUGUCAGUGGCAGACGGGUGAGUAACACGGGGGAACGUACCCUUCGGUUCGGAAUAACUCAGGGAAACUUGAGCUAAUACCGGAUACGCCCUCUUGGGGAAAGGUUUACUGCCGAAGUAUCGGCCCGCGUCUGAUUAGCUUGUUGGUGGGGUAACGGCCUACCAAGGCGACGAUCAGUGGCUGGUCUGAGAGGAUGAUCCGCCACACUGGGACUGAGACCCGGCCCCGACUCCUACGGGAGGCAGCAGUGGGGAAUAUUGGACAAUGGGCGCAAGCCUGAUCCAGCCAUGCCGCGUGAGUGAUGAAGGCCUUAGGGUUGUAAAGCUCUUUUGUCCGGGACGAUAAUGACGGUACCGGAAGAAUAAGCCCCGGCUAACUUCGUG